RNAcentral lists this transfer RNA (75 nucleotides) under Nostoc sp. HK-01. RNAcentral's name for it is "tRNA-Met". It matches the Rfam family "tRNA". From Rfam's summary of the family: Transfer RNA (tRNA) molecules are approximately 80 nucleotides in length. Their secondary structure includes four short double-helical elements and three loops (D, anti-codon, and T loops). The record is from RNAcentral. Lineage: Bacteria; Bacillati; Cyanobacteriota; Cyanophyceae; Nostocales; Nostocaceae. RNAcentral also lists the same sequence under 1 other name.
UGCAGCGUCACCUAACGGCAAGGUACUCGGCUCAUAACCGAGGAUAUGCGGGUUCAACUCCCGUCGCUGCUACCA